This 979-nucleotide ribosomal RNA is filed under the name Bacteroidales bacterium. RNAcentral's name for it is "bacterial SSU rRNA". It matches the Rfam family "Bacterial small subunit ribosomal RNA", at positions 1 to 1108 of the family's 1533-position model. The record is from RNAcentral. Lineage: Bacteria; Pseudomonadati; Bacteroidota; Bacteroidia; Bacteroidales.
UACUAUGGAGAGUUUGAUCCUGGCUCAGGAUGAACGCUAGCGGCAGGCUUAAUACAUGCAAGUCGAGGGGCAGCACGGGUAGCAAUACCUGGUGGCGACCGGCGCACGGGUGCGUAACGCGUAUGUAAUCUACCAUUAACCGGGGAAUAGCCCAGAGAAAUCUGGAUUAAUGCCCCAUAGUAUUAUCGAAAGGCAUCUUUUGAUAAUUAAAGCUCAGGCGGUUUUUGAUGAACAUGCGUGUCAUUAGUUUGUUGGUGAGGUAACGGCUCACCAAGACUACGAUGACUAGGGGGUCUGAGANNACACGGACCAGACUCCUACGGGAGGCAGCAGUAAGGAAUAUUGGGCAAUGGAGGCAACUCUGACCCAGCCAUGCCGCGUGAAGGAUUGACGGCCCUCUGGGUUGUAAACUUCUUUUGUACGGGAAUAACCCUCCGAACGUGUUCGGAGCUGAAGGUACCGUAAGAAUAAGGAUCGGCUAACUCCGUGCCAGCAGCCGCGGUAAUACGGAGGAUCCAAGCGUUAUCCGGAUUUACUGGGUUUAAAGGGUGCGUAGGCGGAUUGAUAAGUCAGUGGUGAAAGCCUGCAGCUUAACUGCAGAACUGCCAUUGAUACUGCCAGUCUGGAGUAUGGUUGAGGUAGCUGGAAUGUGUCAUGUAGCGGUGAAAUGCUUAGAGAUGACACAGAACACCGACGGCGAAGGCAGGUUACCAACCCAUUACUGACGCUGAGGCACGAAAGCGUGGGGAUCAAACAGGAUUAGAUACCCUGGUAGUCCACGCNNACGGGGGCCCGCACAAGCGGAGGAGCAUGUGGUUUAAUUCGAUGAUACGCGAGGAACCUUACCUGGGCUCGAACGUAUAGGGAAUUAUGCCGAAAGGUAUAAGCCAGCAAUGGCCGUAUACGAGGUGCUGCAUGGUUGUCGUCAGCUCGUGCCGUGAGGUGUUAGGUUAAGUCCUGCAACGAGCGCAACCCUUAC